AACCCUAAACUAAUAACUCAAAACCCUAACUGCAGGACACACAGGCAAAACGCUUCCUCAAAGACGCGUUUUCUUACUUCGUCACUUGACAACGCGCUGACGUGGACACGCUUUCGAGGAAAUAAGGCCAUUUCAAUAAAUAAUUAUUUACCAGACCCAUUUCAAUAAAUUUUUUUUAAAAAAUAGACUUUUAUAUGUAAUUUACCAGGACAACCACUUUGCAAAAGGACUACCCAGUCAUAAAUGACUGUAGCAGGCCUCAUAAAUGAGCACACAGACCAACAAAAUAACAAGCCAAAACACAACAAAAAGUCAAUGAGAAAACAAAAGAAAUUAAAAGAAACACUCAUCUAAUUUGUAGAGACCCCGUCCCCAAACCGAAACCUAACGAUGAAAACCGGAAGCUAAAUCGUUUCCUGCAACCACAAACCCAUAAAAGAUAUGCGCAAAAAAAAAAAAAAAAAAGAAAACCACAGGAAAUUCCUCCUUGAGACACAUUUGGAGUGGAAAAUAGAAUAUUCUCCAAAGCUCAAAGAAUGCAUUCGCUGGAACUACCUCUCGGCGCUUCGUGAAACCCAUUUCUGCCCAUCUUGGUUCGCUACAAGUUCAACCUCCGUAGGAGCUUCCUCAAUCUAAAAUCGAGGUUUUGAAGGCCAAAACUCGCAUCUUGCUAGAGUAUGUGCUGCGUUAUUCGCCAAUCUUCCGACAUAGGCAAAGGUAAUAUAAUCAAACCCUCUCACCUUCCUUUUGAUAUCUUGAAUAAUCGGGCCAAACACUGAUUUGUCUGGAUUCACAUUAUGUAACUUCUUUGUGACGGUGAGCGAAUCGCCUUCCACAACGAUCGAUCGAAAACCCAACACAUUGCCAAAGGUUAUUGCCUGUUCGUAAGCUCACGCCUCCGCCGUGAAUGCAUUUGCAACAUUAUAGCGUGGGUAAGUGCAAGCUGCUAAAAUUUUCCCAUUUUCAUUCCUAGCUAUUACACUCGAUAUAGAUCUACUGGUAGUUUUAUUGAAUAAGGCAUCAUAGUUAAGUUUAAUUUGGUAUGAGAUUGGGGGGGUCCAAAACUCCUACUUUGGAACACAAGAAGAGGGGGUUAACCCCUCAAGGGCUUGUAAUUCUAGUUGGUAGCCCUUAAUGAAAACCACCAAGUCCUGUAUGCUUUGCUUAACCCCAUCAUGGAUCAACCUAUUUCACGCGUACCAGAUUGCUCAGUAAGUAAUUACAAGAGAUACCUUUUCGUUUCCAUCUAGUAAUUCAAAACCUAUCGCUAACCAUGUUUUAUAAUAACUCAUAUCGUGGUUGUGCUAUAAUAUGAUUAUAUAUAUAGAUAUAGUCCAAGGUUGGAAUCAACAUAUUAAUUGCAGCUUUCCCUAUUUUUUCCGAUUUAAAAUGAAAAUAAAGAAACUAAAAUCCAUAAUAAUAAUAAUAAUAAUAAGGAGAUUAAUUAAUAGCUUAAUAAAUGAAGGUUUUGACAUAUAAGUAGUUUGUGGUAGGUUAGGAAUGCAAGAAUAACGCGUUUCAAACACCCUUUUUCCUUUUUCGAAAGUAGUUUCUACUUUCUAGUCUUUAAUGAACAUAAAUGAAAGAUUGAUCUGAGCCAAAAGUAUAGCGGGCAGAUAAUACCUUGGCUACACUAUAAUCAACUAAAUGCGGUAUGCCCCUCUUUAUUAUUAUUAUUUUGGAAAGCAAUAUCCCCUGUUUCACAGCAUAAGAUAAAAGGAUUCUUUUUUCCUAGGUCUUCAAUCAAUGCAAAAAGAGAGAGAGAGAGAGAUUGGAUUGAAUACCUUUUCAUGCGAAUGAGCAAUCAAGCUAAUUACUUCUAAAAUUCUUAAUCACCUCUUUGCUCCACUGGCGUGCAUCUGUUUUAAAAACCCAGUUUGUGUUGUUUACUGCUUCAUCCUUAUCUAUCCUCUCCAACAGACUUCCCUAUCCUAAUUAAAUAUUAUCUUUGGGUCUGGAUUUCAUAAUGUCAUUUCAAUUCAACUCUUUUAUUAUCUUAGUUUUUAAUGCGAUCUCAUUUUAAACGUAUAUCAUUUAUGAUUGGUAGCUGGCUGGUAACUCUUUGGUCUUGGUAAAAAGUAGUUAAAUGCUAACAUGUCAUCUUAAUUUUUCUAUUUAUUUUUGGGUGAUUUAAUAGAGAAGUAAAAAUUUAAAUAGAGGACUAAAAUGAUUUAUUUUGGUGAAAGAAUGAGGGCCAACUAAAUUCAUUAAAUGGGUUGGUUGUUAAACAUUAAAAACUUAUAAUAAAUAUAUUUACAAUUUUAUUUUCGAACACGAAGUACCAUGGACAAAAGAAAAUUAAUAAAUAAAAAGCACAUCCAAACUUGAUUUAAAUACAUUAAUAAUAAAAUAGAUCGUUCAGAACUUAAGACGGACCACGACCACGACCACGAAGACAUCCAUCUACAUACUGAGCUAAUCAGAUGAAUAAUUUGUUGAAAAAUGGGUUUAAAGGUCCAUUGAACCCACAACCAAAAUAAAAACUAUUUGACAAACCCAAAUCCCCAACCUUUAUUUCGAUUACUGUAUAAAUUAUAUUUACACAAUUAAUUAAUUUAAAUUUUAAAAAUAUUAAUUACUACAAACAAAUAUCAAUAAUACUUGAAAAAUAAAUCUAUAUAAGGGUGUCUGUUUUCACUGAAAAUGUUCAUUUUGUGAAAAACAAUUUGAUUAACGAAACAUAACUUACACGUUAAUAUAAAGUAAACUCUUCCACUUUUGAAAAGGAAGUUGAAUAAACUAAUAUUGUUAUAUUCAUGAUAAUUUUGCAAAAUUUUUUUUAAAAUUAAAAUAUUGAUAUUAAAUAUUAUAAUUUUCAAUUUUAUUAAACACUCAUAUUUAAUUUUUUAUAUUUAAUAAUAAACUUUAACAUUAAUAAUAAUUUUAAAUUUAAAAAUAUUCUAAAUAUAUUAUUGACAAAUAUUUAUAUUGAUAUUUUAAUAAUAAAUAUAUAUUGUAAACGGUUCAUUUUGCCCGGAGCCCAAAACCAGAAAUUACAACUAAAUAAUUUAAAUCCAAUAUUUAUAAGGUCCAUUUACAUUUGUCUAAAAAGGUCCCAGGUAAAAUCAAACCCAAUACCCAAACAGCCCAUUUACAUUUUAAAUCUAACAAUUUUUUAUGUUUAAACUUCAUCUUUUUGUAAAUUUAUCAUCAAUAUCAUUUUGAUUUGUAAUAUAUCAUUAUUUCAAAUUUAUCAUGUAUUAUUAUUUAAACUUAUCAUAUUUUAU
This 3227-nucleotide long non-coding RNA is filed under the name Gossypium barbadense (sea-island cotton). Its description in RNAcentral is "long non-coding RNA (GBAR_LNC013580)". The record is from RNAcentral. Lineage: Eukaryota; Viridiplantae; Streptophyta; Magnoliopsida; Malvales; Malvaceae.